UUCGUCUAGUGGUUAGGACGUCCGACUUCUAAUCGGAAAACACCGGUUCGAAUCCGGUACGGGCCA
This 66-nucleotide transfer RNA is filed under the name Brucella intermedia. Its description in RNAcentral is "Ochrobactrum intermedium tRNA-Arg". It matches the Rfam family "tRNA". Rfam says of the family: Transfer RNA (tRNA) molecules are approximately 80 nucleotides in length. Their secondary structure includes four short double-helical elements and three loops (D, anti-codon, and T loops). The record is from RNAcentral. Lineage: Bacteria; Pseudomonadati; Pseudomonadota; Alphaproteobacteria; Hyphomicrobiales; Brucellaceae.